CUUCGGGCUUCGUGCAACGGACGCUCGCGAACCCCGCCAGGUCCGGAAGGAAGCAACGGUAACGAGCCUCUCCGUGUGCCGCGGACCCCCGAAGUCU
Molecule: signal recognition particle RNA, 97 nt
Filed under: Acidobacteriota bacterium
Lineage: Bacteria; Pseudomonadati; Acidobacteriota
Description: signal recognition particle sRNA small type
Rfam family: Bacterial small signal recognition particle RNA
About the family: The signal recognition particle (SRP) is a universally conserved ribonucleoprotein involved in the co-translational targeting of proteins to membranes. Archaeal SRP consists of a 7S RNA and homologues of the eukaryotic SRP19 and SRP54 proteins.
Source: RNAcentral